This is a long non-coding RNA of Manacus vitellinus (golden-collared manakin), 648 nucleotides long. RefSeq lists it as uncharacterized. The transcript is spliced from 3 exons. Lineage: Eukaryota; Metazoa; Chordata; Aves; Passeriformes; Pipridae. The record is from RefSeq and is a predicted model, not a curated record.
GAGUCUCAGAUGGAGGGAUUGAGCAGAAUACAUGGGGAAUUUGCUUUCAGAACUGAAGCUCAGCAGGACUUGGUUCUCUCCAUGAGUGACAGAAUCCUUCACAGUGAGCUCCCAGCAUAUUGAAAACUUUCAAAGGAUGAAAUGGAUUGGUUUGGCAGAUCUGAAGAGCCUGAAUUAAUCCCCUGGUUAGAGCAUUUGAGCACUGCUGAUGUGGAACAGCACAGCCAGCAAUGUAAAGACUUGCCAGAUUCAGAAGGUCUGUGGGAUAUUUUCUCGACAGACGACCCUCGGCUCUCCCGCAGCAGUUUGGCCGUGCUGGGCUGUUUCCCGUGCCUGGAUCUCUUUUCUCUGGUCACGUGGAGUCUGUUGAACUCAUCAAUAAAUUCCUCACAAUGCAGUAGAUGAUGUUCAGGUUCCCAGGUGUCUUCAUUGCUUCCAUAACCUUUCCACCUGAUGAGAUAUUCCCAUUUGCCCUUCUUGUUCUUCCUUUUGUCUACAAUCCUCUCGACCUAAAGGAAAAAACCAAAAAUAUAUUAAAAAGAAUUCCCUUGAGUAGAGCUGACAGUACAGGAGAGGAAUCAGAGCCCCAGUGGUAUUUGGACAGCAAAGCCACUGCCCCUUCUGAAAACAUCAGGAGAGACAUAAACA